AUAAUGGGUCAGCGACUUAUAUUCUGUAGCAAGGUUAACCGAAUAGGGGAGCCGAAGGGAAACCGAGUCUUAACUGGGCGUUAAGUUGCAGGGUAUAGACCCGAAACCCGGUGAUCUAGCCAUGGGCAGGUUGAAGGUUGGGUAACACUAACUGGAGGACCGAACCGACUAAUGUUGAAAAAUUAGCGGAUGACUUGUGGCUGGGGGUGAAAGGCCAAUCAAACCGGGAGAUAGCUGGUUCUCCCCGAAAGCUAUUUAGGUAGCGCCUCGUGAAUUCAUCUCCGGGGGUAGAGCACUGUUUCGGCAAGGGGGUCAUCCCGACUUACCAACCCGAUGCAAACU
This 342-nucleotide ribosomal RNA is filed under the name Escherichia coli. RNAcentral describes it as "partial 23S ribosomal RNA". It matches the Rfam family "Bacterial large subunit ribosomal RNA", at positions 612 to 955 of the family's 2925-position model. The record is from RNAcentral. Lineage: Bacteria; Pseudomonadati; Pseudomonadota; Gammaproteobacteria; Enterobacterales; Enterobacteriaceae.